RNAcentral lists this ribosomal RNA (253 nucleotides) under uncultured bacterium. RNAcentral describes it as "partial 16S ribosomal RNA". It matches the Rfam family "Bacterial small subunit ribosomal RNA", at positions 524 to 776 of the family's 1533-position model. The record is from RNAcentral.
UACGUAGGGUGCGAGCGUUGUCCGGAAUCACUGGGCGUAAAGGGCGCGUAGGCGGCCUGCUAAGUCGAACGUGAAAUCCCUGGGCUCAACCCAGGAACUGCGUCCGAUACUGGUUGGCUUGAAUCCGGGAGAGGGACGUGGAAUUCCAGGUGUAGCGGUGAAAUGCGUAGAUAUCUGGAGGAACACCGGUGGCGAAGGCGACGUCCUGGACCGGCAUUGACGCUGAGGCGCGAAAGCCAGGGGAGCAAACGGG